Molecule: long non-coding RNA, 2800 nt
Filed under: Gossypium barbadense (sea-island cotton)
Lineage: Eukaryota; Viridiplantae; Streptophyta; Magnoliopsida; Malvales; Malvaceae
Description: long non-coding RNA (GBAR_LNC020796)
Source: RNAcentral
UUUAAUGUAAUGUAUUUCUUAAAUUUAUUUUAUAUAAAAAUAAUAUAAUUUAUCUUAACAUAACAUUUUUUAUUUGGAUUGGGCUAUACUCACAUAAAAAACGGGUUUGAAAUAUUACAUUCCCGGCUUGAACCAGGCUGAUUAUGAGGUCUAAUCUUCUUCAAUGCUUUCAUUUUGUUGUUGAAAAAAAAACCUUCAAAUUCGAUCCAACAGCUAGUACCUCUCUCUUGCAAGUGGAGUUUGAAUGCUUCAGCUCUUGAUAACGAAACCCCCUGAAGAAAAGGAAUAGCAGCAUAAACAUGAUUGGCCGCUUUAAACUUACCAAUGUUUAUGGAUUUCAAAUAUUCUUGUGUAAAUAGACAAGAAUGAAAAUCUUUACUUCUAAAAGAUUGACAAACUCCAAGCAAAAGUUUUAGUUUUGAUAACAUUUUUGGGAGAUGCUUUAUGGUGAGAACAAUGGAUGACCAAAUUGGACCUUGACUCAACUAAAACCUGUUAGUGUUGCAGUUUCAAUUCAAAAUCCUACCUUUGCACCUAGAUAAAAGUUGCUUACAAUAAAUAUAAACCCAAAUAAAGCUACAGUUAUGAUGAGAUAGUUGAAGUACUUACUGGUAUGGAUUAUGUAGUUGCAGUUCCGAGAUAUGGGAAAAGUUUGCAGAUUGAUAUUCAAAAACCAACUAAAAUAAGCAUGGUUUCUGUAAAAGAUGAAUCUGGAAUCAAUUUUAGUGAUAUUUCUAAUCAACAUAUUGUAUGUCUUCAAUGAUUAUGACAGCAUUUAAUAUGCAAAAUUGCUGAUAAAGUGAAACAGAAAAUUUGAUUUUUGAAGACGAAGAGAAGGGGGGGGGAGAGAAAUAAUACAUAUUUUAUUUUUGUUAUUUAAUUUUAAUAAAUGUUUUUAAGUAAAAAAUUGAAAAUAUAAAAUUAUGACGUGUCACUUUUUAAUUGCUGAGAUUUUUUUUCUAACCUCUGUAAAAGAAACUAAAAACUAUAUCCUAUGGCUUGCUUUUUAUUUCCUAAUUCUCUUUGCAAAGCAAAAAGGAUAUGGCAAAAAAAGUAGUCAUUAGUGUGAAUGGAUAAAACUUUGUGAUUUAAAGGAGAAUGGAGGUAUUGGCUUUCGUUGCUUAACAAAAUUCAAUUUAUCUUUAUUAGCAAAAUAGGGUUGGCGAUUAAUUUGUAAUCCGAAUUCUUUGCUUAUGCAUGUGUUAAAAGCUAAGUAUUGUCCCAAAACAGAUUUCAUAAAUGCAAGGUUAGGGAGUCUACCUUCCUAUACUUUGAAGAGUAUUUGGGCUGCCAAAGGGAUACUCCAAGAUGGGAUGUGCUGGAGAGUUGGGAAUGGGGAAAGAAUUCCAGUUAUUGGAGCUGCAUAGGUGCCUCGUUCAGAGAAUCGCAAAAUUCAAACUGUUAGUAGUAUUCCAGAUUCAAUGAUGGUAGCUGAUUUUAUUGUUAAGAAAUCUAGGCUUUGGAAUGAAGAACUUAUCAGAAGUACCUUCAGUAUGACUGAUGCAAAACAUAUUUUAAGCAUUCCGUUGGCUCGUAUUCCUCAGGAUGAUUUUUUGGUGUGGAAAGGGGAGGCAUCUGGUGAGUAUUUUGUCCGUAGUGCUUACAAAAUGCCUUUACAGUUAUUGGGUGAUCCUACUUAUUUACAGCAGCAAACAAAAUAUAUGCCUUUUUACAAGAAAUUAUAGGGGCUUAAUCUGCCCUCUAAAUUGAAUAUUACAAUUUGGAAAUGCUGUAAAAACUACAUCCCUACUUUGUGUAAUCUACAGUACAGAAGGCUAAUAAACGAGGUUGUGUGUCCAAAGUGUGUAGCGUCAGUGGAGACUCGCGAACAUGUGUUUAGGGAGUGGCAUGUUACAAGGGAUACAUGGAGAUAUUUAAAUAUAUGUUGGCCUGAGAUAGAGGAUGAAAUGUGCUUUAUGGAUUAGGUUACCUGGUCCUUUGCAUCCAAUACCAUAGGCCAGUGCAGAAUCUUUGCAUGCUCAAUUUGGGUUUUAUGGACGGAGAGAAACAAAUGGGCUCAUGAGCGGCAAAAAAGAUCUGGUUCAAAAAUUGCUAAUUUUCUAAAAAAUUACAUUGCUGAAUUAGAUAGGUUGGAAAAAAACUUUACCCGUGAGUAUGAAGGGAAAUGAGAUCUGGAGGCCACCGUGAACUCCGUUUGUCAAAAUUAAUUUUGAUGUGGCUUUCAACAAAACUAAUAAGAAUUCUUGCUCGGGGGUUGUAGUAAGGGAUUCUAAUAGAGAGAUAUUGGCAGUCAGAUCUAUUCUAAAUCAAAAUAUACCUGCUGCAUUUGCAGCCAAGGCUCUUGCCUAUGUUCGAGGACUCCAGUUGGGUGUGACGAUGGGAGUUAGGCAAGUGGAGGUUGAAGGUGACGCGAGAUCCGUUAUUAAAAAAAAUACAGAGUAGAUGGGCAGAUAAAUCAGAUAUACAAGCUUACAUUUUCGAUUAUCAGGAUUUGAGUAAUAGCUUUCAAACCUGUGUUUCUGUUAGGGCAUCGAUCGAAAAAUGAGAUUGCUCAUUUGCUUGCAACUGAAGGUUUGCGUAGGGAGGAACAAUGGAAUUUGGAUCGGGGGGUUCCUAUUUUUGCAUGAAUGGCAGCGAAGCGUGAUCGACUAAGAUAUUCAUCUGCUGGGAAUGGGAUGAGUUCCGUAGAAAAUCAGAGGAAUCAAAAGAUGUGAGAGGGAAGGGGGGAAAGUAGAAGUCAUCUGGUGCGUUGAAAGGAUAAUAAAUUAUGUUUUAGUAGUGCUUAAUUAAUGCUAUUGUUAAAGUUGCAGAGAUGCUUCUAGAGCAACUCUUGAGUUCA